Adelges cooleyi (spruce gall adelgid) is the source of this 87-nucleotide long non-coding RNA. RefSeq lists it as uncharacterized. The record is from RefSeq and is a predicted model, not a curated record. The transcript is spliced from 3 exons. NCBI's taxonomy places the organism in Eukaryota, Metazoa, Arthropoda, Insecta, Hemiptera, Adelgidae.
UACAUGUUCCGCAAAAUUAUCAAGAGAAUUAUUGGAAGCAGGUUUUAGUCACAAAUAAAUUCAUUGAGAGUGCUUCUAGAGCAGGUA